RNAcentral lists this ribosomal RNA (429 nucleotides) under uncultured bacterium. RNAcentral describes it as "bacterial SSU rRNA". It matches the Rfam family "Bacterial small subunit ribosomal RNA", at positions 335 to 784 of the family's 1533-position model. The record is from RNAcentral.
ACUCCUACGGGAGGCAGCAGUGGGGAAUAUUGCACAAUGGGCGCAAGCCUGAUGCAGCAACGCCGCGUGAGCGAUGAAGGCCUUCGGGUCGUAAAGCUCUGUCCUCAAGGAAGAAUAAAUGACGGUACUUGAGGAGGAAGCCCGGCUAACUACGUGCCAGCAGCCGCGGUAAUACGUAGGGGCAAGCGUUAUCCGGAAUCACUGGGCGUAAAGGGUGCGUAGGCGGUUUUCAAGUCAGAAGUGAAAGGCUAUGGCUCAACCAUAGUAAGCUUUUGAAACUGUUAAACUUGAGUGCAGGAGAGGAAAGUGGAAUUCCUAGUGUAGAGGUGAAAUUCGUAGAUAUUAGGAGGAACACCAGUGGCGAAGGCGACUUUCUGGACUGUAACUGACGCUGAGGCACGAAAGCGUGGGAGCGAACAGGAUUAGAUA